UACGUAGAGAGCAAGCGUUGUCCGGAAUCAUUGGGCGUAAAGGGUACGCAGGCGGUCUAUUAAGUCAGAGGUGAAAUCCAACAGCUCAACUGUUGAACUGCCUUUGAUACUGGUAGACUUGAGGAUAAGAGAAGAAAACGGAAUUCCUAGUGUAGCGGUGAAAUGCGUAGAUAUUAGGAAGAAUACCGAUGGCGAAGGCAGCUUACUAAACUGACACUGACGCUGAAGCACGAAAGCGUGGGUAUCAAACAGG
RNAcentral lists this ribosomal RNA (253 nucleotides) under uncultured bacterium. RNAcentral's name for it is "partial 16S ribosomal RNA". It matches the Rfam family "Bacterial small subunit ribosomal RNA", at positions 524 to 776 of the family's 1533-position model. The record is from RNAcentral.